AUACGUAGGUGGCAAGCGUUGUCCGGAAUUAUUGGGCGUAAAGCGCGCGCAGGUGGUUCCUUAAGUCUGAUGUGAAAGCCCCCGGCUCAACCGGGGAGGGUCAUUGGAAACUGGGGAACUUGAGUGCAGAAGAGGAUAGUGGAAUUCCAAGUGUAGCGGUGAAAUGCGUAGAGAUUUGGAGGAACACCAGUGGCGAAGGCGACUGUCUGGUCUGUAACUGACACUGAGGCGCGAAAGCGUGGGGAGCAAACAGGAUUGGAUACCCUGGUAGUCCACGCCGUAAACGAUGAGUGCUAAGUGUUGGGGGGUUUCCGCCCCUCAGUGCUGCAGCUAACGCAUUAAGCACUCCGCCUGGGGAGUACGGUCGCAAGACUGAAACUCAAAUGAAUUGACGGGG
This 397-nucleotide ribosomal RNA is filed under the name uncultured bacterium. RNAcentral describes it as "partial 16S ribosomal RNA". It matches the Rfam family "Bacterial small subunit ribosomal RNA", at positions 523 to 918 of the family's 1533-position model. The record is from RNAcentral.